GCUUGAAGGUGGUUUUGGAGUGAAUGUAAGGGAAGGGUCAUAUAAAAAGAUUGAUGGUGAUCAGUCAGCUUCUCAGCUGCAGUGGAGAUCAUCUACUGGUGAAGUCGAGCAAGUGAGAAAGAAAGACGUUGUGGUGUCUGCGAAGGAACCAACAAAAUCGGAAGAUCUUGAAGUUCCAAGAAGGAAGUUCCACAAACCUUUUUCUGCAGGUGAACAUGUAAAGGUGCAAGGUAGAAGAGAUGAGACUAGCUCUACUUAUGGAAGUAACAAGCCAGUUUUUAAUAGCAAUAAGAUAUCUGAGAGUCAAGAGAGCUUUGGUACUGUAUCAGCACCAUCAGU
This 339-nucleotide unclassified non-coding RNA is filed under the name Hevea brasiliensis (rubber tree). Lineage: Eukaryota; Viridiplantae; Streptophyta; Magnoliopsida; Malpighiales; Euphorbiaceae. The record is from RNAcentral.